This 126-nucleotide small RNA is filed under the name Marmota monax (woodchuck). The record is from RNAcentral. Lineage: Eukaryota; Metazoa; Chordata; Mammalia; Rodentia; Sciuridae.
GCCAGGUGUGGUGGCACACGUCUGUAAUCCCACCGGCUCAGGAGGCUGAGGCAGGAGGAUUGUGAGUUCAAGCCAGCCUCAGCAACUUAGCGAGUCUCUGAGCAACUCAGCGAGACCCUGUCUCCA